GAUGAACGCUGGCGGCGUGCCUAAUCCAUGCAAGUCGAACGGAGUAUCAGCAAUGGUGCUUAGUGGCGAACGGGUGAGUAACGCGUUGGUGACCUGCCCCGAAGCGGGGGAUAACAGACCGAAAGGUCUGCUAAUACCGCGUAAUCUGCGCUUCGUUAGAGAGAGCGUAGGAAAGCCGAAAGGCGCUUUGGGAGGGGCCUGCGUCCCAUCAGCUAGUUGGUAAGGUAACGGCUUACCAAGGCGAUGACGGGUAGGGGACCUGAGAGGGUGGCCCCCCACAAUGGAACUGAAACACGGUCCAUACACCUACGGGUGGCAG
This 319-nucleotide ribosomal RNA is filed under the name uncultured Chloroflexota bacterium. RNAcentral's name for it is "bacterial SSU rRNA". It matches the Rfam family "Bacterial small subunit ribosomal RNA", at positions 28 to 351 of the family's 1533-position model. The record is from RNAcentral. Lineage: Bacteria; Bacillati; Chloroflexota.